RNAcentral lists this transfer-messenger RNA (361 nucleotides) under Pseudomonadales bacterium. It matches the Rfam family "transfer-messenger RNA". Rfam says of the family: Bacterial tmRNA, also known as 10Sa RNA or SsrA, is named for its dual tRNA and mRNA-like properties. Its role is to liberate the mRNA from a stalled ribosome. To accomplish this part of the tmRNA is used as a reading frame that ends in a translation stop signal. RNAcentral also lists the same sequence under 2 other names. The record is from RNAcentral. Lineage: Bacteria; Pseudomonadati; Pseudomonadota; Gammaproteobacteria; Pseudomonadales.
GGGGGCGAUUCGGAUUCGACGCCGGUGCCAAACCCUGAGGUGCAUGUCGAGAGGGUAGUAACUCUCGUAAAUCAAUUGCUACAACUUAAUAGUUGCCAACGACGACAACUACGCUCUAGCAGCUUAAUAUAGCCGCUAGCGAUUGCCACCGGGAUGCCUGUAAACCAGUGUUUAGCAAUCGUCAUAUAGAACAGGAUCGCGGGGAGGUUCGUCCAGGACCAAACCGUUAAACUUCACUGGACUCGCCCAAGUCACCCUGCCCGUCGGGCGGACAAGGGUUAACUCAAUAGACGACGCUAAACAUGUAGAGCCAAAGGCAGCGGACUGACGGACGGGAGUUCAACUCUCCCCGCCUCCACCA